UGGGGAAUUUUGGACAAUGGGGGCAACCCUGAUCCAGCCAUUCCGCGUGAGUGAAGAAGGCCUUCGGGUUGUAAAGCUCUUUCAGACGGAAAGAAACGGUUACGGCUAAUACCCGUGACUAAUGACGGUACCGUAAGAAGAAGCACCGGCUAACUACGUGCCAGCAGCCGCGGUAAUACGUAGGGUGCGAGCGUUAAUCGGAAUUACUGGGCGUAAAGCGUGCGCAGGCGGUUGUGUAAGUCAGAUGUGAAAUCCCCGGGCUCAACCUGGGAAUUGCAUUUGAGACUGCACGGCUAGAGUGUGUCAGAGGGGGGUAGAAUUCCACGUGUAGCAGUGAAAUGCGUAGAUAUGUGGAGGAAUACCGAUGGCGAAGGCAGCCCCCUGGGAUAACACUGACGCUCAUGCACGAAAGCGUGGGGAGCAAACAGGAUUAGAUACCCUGGUAGUCCCUGAGCGGGCUGGCAAGGCGCAU
RNAcentral lists this ribosomal RNA (472 nucleotides) under uncultured bacterium. RNAcentral describes it as "bacterial SSU rRNA". It matches the Rfam family "Bacterial small subunit ribosomal RNA", at positions 355 to 825 of the family's 1533-position model. The record is from RNAcentral.